GGCAGUUCUUGGGUGAUGCACCCUGGAAUCAGGCUCCCUCCUCUCUGGUUCUAGGUGUAUCACCUGAGUACUGUA
This is a non-coding RNA of Myotis lucifugus (little brown bat), 75 nucleotides long. The record is from Rfam. NCBI's taxonomy places the organism in Eukaryota, Metazoa, Chordata, Mammalia, Chiroptera, Vespertilionidae.